CCCUUUAAUGUUUGAUGUUCUAACGUUGGCCCCUGACCGGGGUUGCGGACAGUGUCUGGUGGGUAGUUUGACUGGGGCGGUCUCCUCCCAAAGCGUAACGGAGGAGCACGAAGGUUAGCUAAUCCUGGUCGGACAUCAGGAGGUUAGUGCAAUGGCAUAAGCUAGCUUGACUGCGAGCGUGACGGCGCGAGCAGGUGCGAAAGCAGGUCAUAGUGAUCCGGUGGUUCUGAAUGGAAGGGCCAUCGCUCAACGGAUAAAAGGUACUCCGGGGAUAACAGGCUGAUACCGCCCAAG
RNAcentral lists this ribosomal RNA (294 nucleotides) under Acinetobacter baumannii. RNAcentral describes it as "partial 23S ribosomal RNA". It matches the Rfam family "Bacterial large subunit ribosomal RNA", at positions 2203 to 2496 of the family's 2925-position model. Lineage: Bacteria; Pseudomonadati; Pseudomonadota; Gammaproteobacteria; Moraxellales; Moraxellaceae. The record is from RNAcentral.